Long non-coding RNA from Nicotiana tabacum (common tobacco), 747 nucleotides. RefSeq lists it as uncharacterized. NCBI's taxonomy places the organism in Eukaryota, Viridiplantae, Streptophyta, Magnoliopsida, Solanales, Solanaceae. The record is from RefSeq and is a predicted model, not a curated record.
CAUCAGAUUUGUUUACCACCAAAACAAAUAAUCUCUCUCCCUCAUUUUUGCCUGAGGCUGUCCAUUCCCCUCAUUAGCUCCAUUUUCAGAGGCCUCCCCCUUUUAUCUUCCAUCUGAUUUCUCUCAACUUUGAGAAAACACGCCCAGCCCCCCUUCCCCACGAUGUUGUAACUCCACCGUCGGAUUUGACCCCCGGGCCGGUGACCUCCCUCUACAUCACUGACCAUCUUCAUCUCCAUUUGCUUAUAGCUUUUCCGGUGACUGUUAUGGUUCACUCAGAUCUAACUAAAAAUAUAUAGAUCUGGUUGGAAAAAAUGACCUUCACUAGCGACCAUAUCUCGCUCCUUGCUGCCUUCGAGCUUUGGCCGGAAAAAAAUAAAUGCCAGCGACGUAUUUUUGAGAUUCGAGUCGUUCGGGGGCUGAAUCACGAGGCAAUGGCUUGUUGGAGUUAUUAUUUGCACGGUUUGAGAUACAGGUGCAUCUGGACCCGGUGGUUGCAAGACUUGGAGCAUUACCUGCUUGGAGACUAGUGAGGUAGCUGCUAUGGGAUCCGUAGACCUCAACUCUCCUUCUUUUCAGUUUAUUUAGCACUGUUCUAUCUUUCCAGACAAUUAUAUUAGAAGUUUUUGACUAUGUUGACAUUUAAUAGCUCAUGUACUCGGUGAUACCCAUAUUUUGGGGAUUUUGUAGUUGAGUCGCGGUUGUUCCUAUCGGUUAUUUAUGAGAUUUUUACAAUUAAACUUAUUA